RNAcentral lists this ribosomal RNA (391 nucleotides) under uncultured bacterium. Its description in RNAcentral is "bacterial SSU rRNA". It matches the Rfam family "Bacterial small subunit ribosomal RNA", at positions 30 to 419 of the family's 1533-position model. The record is from RNAcentral.
AUUGAACGCUGGCGGCAUGCCUUACACAUGCAAGUCGAACGGCAGCACGGGAGCUUGCUCCUGGUGGCGAGUGGCGAACGGGUGAGUAAUACAUCGGAACGUACCCUGAAGUGGGGGAUAACGUAGCGAAAGUUACGCUAAUACCGCAUAUUCUGUGAGCAGGAAAGAGGGGGAUCGCAAGACCUCUUGCUUUAGGAGCGGCCGAUGUCGGAUUAGCUAGUUGGUGAGGUAAAGGCUCACCAAGGCGACGAUCCGUAGCGGGUCUGAGAGGAUGAUCCGCCACACUGGGACUGAGACACGGCCCAGACUCCUACGGGAGGCAGCAGUGGGGAAUUUUGGACAAUGGGCGCAAGCCUGAUCCAGCCAUGCCGCGUGAGUGAAGAAGGCCUUC